AGAGUUUGAUCCUGGCUCAGGAUAAACGCUGGCGGCGUGCCUAACACAUGCAAGUCGAACGCCCUGUGGAAACGCAGGGAGUGGCGGACGGGUGAGUAACGCGUGGGUAUCUACCCAGAGGUGAGGAAUACCGGCGAGAAAUCGCCGACAAGACCGCAUAAGCUCGGGGAACCGAGCAAAGUCGAAAGACGCCUGUGGAU
RNAcentral lists this ribosomal RNA (200 nucleotides) under uncultured bacterium. Its description in RNAcentral is "partial 16S ribosomal RNA". It matches the Rfam family "Bacterial small subunit ribosomal RNA", at positions 8 to 226 of the family's 1533-position model. The record is from RNAcentral.